Long non-coding RNA from Gavialis gangeticus (Gharial), 119 nucleotides. RefSeq lists it as uncharacterized. The record is from RefSeq and is a predicted model, not a curated record. NCBI's taxonomy places the organism in Eukaryota, Metazoa, Chordata, Crocodylia, Gavialidae. The transcript is spliced from 4 exons.
GCCACAUCCUGUGAGGUGUUUGAAUAUGGCUCGCCGGCCCACUGGGUGAUAAAAAGUUCAUGAUCCGGCCCUACAUUCAAAAUGGUUGGACACCCCUGGGUUAGACGAAACUCACAGGA